CAGAGGAAGAAUAAGUACACUGUUUGUAAGAGCCAAUUAAACAGGAGUCAAUGCCACAAGCAGUGGACAUCUCUGACAAUAGAUUAACAGGAAAGUAAAACUUUGGGCUUUAACCACACUUGAGUAAGAACACUCUGACUUGGAAACACUCACAUUUCCCACGUGUGACUGAAUGGCCCUCGCCACGCUGGGAACGGAAUGGGGUGGAGGGGGAAGUUGUACCCCCAACUUCCACUGAUAAAAAAGAAAACCGACAGAUUCCAUUGAUCUGGCGUGGAGCUGGAUGGAUGUCUUUCGGGAAGAAGAGUUUUCAUUAAAGCACAACCACAACAAAGCAAGAAAAAACAGCACUUGAUAUGCUCAGUUGCAAGAUGCAAGAAUUUGGGAAGAUUUGAGCAAAGGAUAGGAAGGAACAGUAUAUUCUGGGAAUGCAGGAUUUCUUCCUUUGGACCUACUUCCAGUGGGAAUCCCCGUGAAGAUCCUCUCUUCCAUCUGUCUGCUGAAACACAAAGAGAAAUGCCACGAAAUGAGAGC
Aotus nancymaae (Ma's night monkey) is the source of this 534-nucleotide long non-coding RNA. The record is from Ensembl. Lineage: Eukaryota; Metazoa; Chordata; Mammalia; Primates; Aotidae.